Molecule: ribosomal RNA, 443 nt
Filed under: uncultured bacterium
Lineage: Bacteria
Description: partial 16S ribosomal RNA
Rfam family: Bacterial small subunit ribosomal RNA
Source: RNAcentral
CCUACGGGUGGCAGCAGUGGGGAAUAUUGGGCAAUGGGCGCAAGCCUGACCCAGCAACGCCGCGUGAAGGAAGAAGGCUUUCGGGUUGUAAACUUCUUUUCUCAGGGACGAAGAAAGUGACGGUACCUGAGGAAUAAGCCACGGCUAACUACGUGCCAGCAGCCGCCGUAAUACGGAGGGGGCAGGCGUUCUCCGGAUUUACUGGGUGUAAAGGGCGUGUGGGCGGGACUGCAAGUCAGAUGUGAAAACCACGGGCUCAACCUGUGGCCUGCAGUUGAAACUGUAGUUCUUGAGUACUGGAGAGGCAGACGGAAUGCGUGGUGUAGCGGUGAAAUGCGUAGAUAUUAGGAGGAACACCAGUGGCGAAGGCGGUCUGCUGGACAGCAACUGACGCUGAGGCGCGAAAGCGUGGGGAGCAAACAGGAUUAGAUACCCUGGUAGUC